Non-coding RNA from Danionella cerebrum, 70 nucleotides. The record is from the annotation of a GenBank genome assembly. Lineage: Eukaryota; Metazoa; Chordata; Actinopteri; Cypriniformes; Danionidae.
GCAGUCGUGGCCUAGUGGGUGAUUGACUGGAGAUCAAAAGGUCACUGGUUCGAUCCCCAGCUCCACUAGG